RNAcentral lists this ribosomal RNA (459 nucleotides) under uncultured bacterium. Its description in RNAcentral is "partial 16S ribosomal RNA". It matches the Rfam family "Bacterial small subunit ribosomal RNA", at positions 338 to 795 of the family's 1533-position model. The record is from RNAcentral.
CCUACGGGAGGCAGCAGUGAGGAAUAUUGGUCAAUGGCCGAGAGGCUGAACCAGCCAAGUCGCGUGAGGGAUGACGGCCCUACGGGUUGUAAACCUCUUUUGUCGGGGAGCAAAGAGAGUCACGUGUGGCUCAUUGAGAGUACCCGAAGAACAAGCCUCGGCUAACUCCGUGCCAGCAGCCGCGGUAAUACGGAGGAUGCGAGCGUUAUCCGGCUGUAUUGGGUUUACAGGGUGCGCAGGCGGAGGUGCAAGUCAGUGGUCAAAUUGCGGGGCUCAACCCCGUACUGCCGUUGAAACUGCAUCCCUUGAGUGCGCGAGAAGUAGGCGGAAGGCGUGGUGUAGCGGUGAAAUGCAUAGAUAUCGCGCAGAACUCCGAUUGCGAAGGCAGCAUACCGGCGCGCAACUGACGCUCAUGCACGAAAGCGUGGGUAUCGAACAGGAUUAGAUACCCUGGUAGUC